CCUCCCGUAGCUCAGUGGACAGAGCAACCGGUUUCUACCCGGGCGCGCGCAGGUUCAAAUCCUGCCGGGAGGA
This 73-nucleotide transfer RNA is filed under the name Microbacterium enclense. Its description in RNAcentral is "tRNA-Arg". It matches the Rfam family "tRNA". From Rfam's summary of the family: Transfer RNA (tRNA) molecules are approximately 80 nucleotides in length. Lineage: Bacteria; Bacillati; Actinomycetota; Actinomycetes; Micrococcales; Microbacteriaceae. The record is from RNAcentral.